CGACGCUGGCGGCGUGCCUAAUACAUGCAAGUCGAACGAGUUCUGAUUAUUGAAAGGUGCUUGCAUCUUGAUUUAAUUUUGAACGAGUGGCGGACGGGUGAGUAACACGUGGGUAACCUGCCCUUAAGUGGGGGAUAACAUUUGGAAACAGAUGCUAAUACCGCAUAAAUCCAAGAACCGCAUGGUUCUUGGCUGAAAGAUGGCGUAAGCUAUCGCUUUUGGAUGGACCCGCGGCGUAUUAGCUAGUUGGUGAGGUAACGGCUCACCAAGGCAAUGAUACGUAGCCGAACUGAGAGGUUGAUCGGCCACAUUGGGACUGAGACACGGCCCAA
This 332-nucleotide ribosomal RNA is filed under the name Lacticaseibacillus rhamnosus. RNAcentral's name for it is "bacterial SSU rRNA". It matches the Rfam family "Bacterial small subunit ribosomal RNA", at positions 32 to 334 of the family's 1533-position model. The record is from RNAcentral. Lineage: Bacteria; Bacillati; Bacillota; Bacilli; Lactobacillales; Lactobacillaceae.